UGCGUAGGCGGAUAAAUAAGUCAGUGGUGAAAUCUUUCGGCUCAACCGGGAAACUGCCAUUGAUACUGUUUAUCUUGAGUUCGGUAGAGGUAGGCGGAAUGUGUAAUGUAGCGGUGAAAUGCUUAGAUAUUACACAGAACACCAAUUGCGUAGGCAGCUUACUAUGCCGACACAGACGCUGAGGCACGAAAGCGUGGGGAGCGAACAGGAUUAGAUACCCUGGUAGUCC
RNAcentral lists this ribosomal RNA (229 nucleotides) under uncultured bacterium. RNAcentral's name for it is "partial 16S ribosomal RNA". It matches the Rfam family "Bacterial small subunit ribosomal RNA", at positions 568 to 796 of the family's 1533-position model. The record is from RNAcentral.